GUCGACUUAGUUUAUUUAGAAUCAUUGUUUUGCAAAUAAUAGGAGGGUAAUUCUACCCAGUCUACA
RNAcentral lists this transfer RNA (66 nucleotides) under Drieschia cf. elegans BG-2021. RNAcentral describes it as "tRNA-Ala". Lineage: Eukaryota; Metazoa; Annelida; Polychaeta; Phyllodocida; Polynoidae. The record is from RNAcentral.